GAUGAACGCUGGCGGCGUGCCUAAUACAUGCAAGUCGAGCGAACGGACGAGAAUCUUGCGUCGCGGAUGUUAGCGGCGGACGGGUGAGUAACACGUGGAUAACCUACCUAUAAGACUGGGAUAACUUCGAGAAACCGGAGCUAAUACCGGAUAAUAUUUUGAACCGCAUGGUUCAAAAGUGAAAGACGGUCGUGCUGGCACGUAUAGAUGGAUCCGCGCUGCAUUAGGUAGUUGGGCAGGUAACGGGUUACCAAGGCAACGAUGCAUAGCCGACCGGAUAGGGUGAUCGGCCACCCUGGAGCUGAGCCACCCUCCAGGCUCCUACGGGAGGCACCAGUAGGGAAUCUUCCGCAAUGGGCGAAAGCAUGACGCAGCAGCGGGGCGUGAGUGGUGACGGUCUCCGGUUCGUAAUACUCUGUUAUUAGGGAAGAACAUAUGUGUACGUAACUGUGCACAUCUUGACGGUACCUAAUCAGAAAGCCACGGCUAACUACGUG
This 497-nucleotide ribosomal RNA is filed under the name uncultured bacterium. RNAcentral's name for it is "partial 16S ribosomal RNA". It matches the Rfam family "Bacterial small subunit ribosomal RNA", at positions 28 to 507 of the family's 1533-position model. The record is from RNAcentral.